Kogia breviceps (pygmy sperm whale) is the source of this 682-nucleotide non-coding RNA. The record is from RefSeq and is a predicted model, not a curated record. NCBI's taxonomy places the organism in Eukaryota, Metazoa, Chordata, Mammalia, Artiodactyla, Physeteridae.
CUCCGCUUCCCACAGGCCCCGCGCGGCCGCCCGACCCCGCAGCCAAUCGCGCGGCUGCUUACUCAAACCGCCGCGCAGGCGCCGCGCCCCGCAUGCUCCGGCGCCCGCCAUUGGGCCGACCGCGGGGCCGGACGGGAGUUGUAGUCCGAGUCCGCGAGGUCGCGGUGCCGAGAGGUCGGCGCGGGAGCUGGCAGCGGCAGGAGAGGUUGCGGCGGACCCGGACUGCUCGGGCUCAGGAGCCAGUUCCAGCUGCUGGCCCUGCCGGGAGACGCAGGCUGCGGAGGGAAAACCACGUUAAAAGUAGCACAAUUGAUUCCUCCUAAGAGAUGUACAUGAUUCUUUGGGCUCAGAUGGCACUGCUGUUAGGUGGGCGGUGAAUGGAGAUCCACUUGGGAAAUUAGAAAACUACUCAUUGUUUUCAUUGAAAAGCCCGCCUCUUCCUCCACAAAAGGGUGGGGGAGAACAUUAAGAACCUACUAUGCAUCAGAUAUGAUAUCAGGCUCUUGAGGAAGUCUUCAUUUGCAUCUCUACCUGUUACCUUUAUUUUACAAGUGAGAAACUGAAAAGGAUCUGAGGCAAGCGUGUACCCUUUGAUGCUGCAGGCUGUUCCUGUAUGCUGCCUAGAGGAGCACAGCAUCCCCACUACCUUGAGUUCCACUUAGAUGGACUCUAGCUGAAAAAA